AGAAAUCAAUCUCUGAAAGAUUUUCCUCACAGACUAGCCCUUGGCUCAGGCUCAGUAUGAAGGAGGGGCUCCUGGUUGUCAAGGCGUGUGAAGUCACUCACUGGAGUUAGCGAUAGUGCCAACUUUGGUCUCAAGGUUCAAUGGAAUGUUCAUCUCAGCUGUAGAAAAGAGGACAUGUGGAAAUCAGGGUACUGUUUGGGGUCCCAGUCACAACCUCUGGUCUUUAUGGCCCAAACUGUGGGAGCAGGAAAAGAGCAGCAGAUCCUGACAUGGAAUUGUGGUAAAUGGCAGGUGGUUUCCCCUGGGGAUGGCAGAGCAGGCCACUAGUGAUGACUGAACAGAGGAAUGACAGGGUGCAAAAGGAGAUUGUCACAAGUAAUUAUCCUUGAGUGGACACUGGGGUAAAGGGAGAGUCAGCCUGGUACAGUCACACCUUGUGGGGCUUUUCCACUUUAAAAUGUGUGGGGAGAAUAACUGUUUCCUCCAGCAGGAGAGUAUCAUCGGCCUUCCUGCAUCAAGGAAGAAUGAGGUGAAGUUACAUGUGGAGCAAGAGAACAUCCCUGAGUAGUGAAGGAUUAGUUGUUUGAUUUUUGUCUGCAUCAUUGGCCUGGCAGCUGUUCCUGCAUCUCCAUAUUACACGGGUACUCAGGGGCAGCGUGGUAAGAGGGAGCAGGAAAAUGGGAAGUGGAGGUGGUGAGGUUGCAAGUCAGAGCCCUGCCACUAAUUGAUCCCUGAUUCUAAGUGAGAGCAUCAUUGAAAGGAGCAGUGGAAGGGGAUAGGAUUCUGGGGGGGGUGGGGUGUUCCAGGUUAUCCCCUCCUUUCCUCUCUGUUUCACCUUCCUUUCUUUGCCUCAUCUCGCUCCUCUAUUUUUUCCAUGCCUUAGUCUUCCCUCAACCUCCCCAAAUAUUCUCUUAGUCAAACAGCUCCCCCAGAUUCUGAGGCAACCAUUCCUAAGCAGGUGGACCAGCUUCCUCUGGAAUUCACCAGUCUUCUCAUAACCUUCCCGGGACACCCCUGCCUCAUCAGUCCUUGGGGCCUCCACCAAGAUGGCUCUAGGUCAGUGGAAAAAAACGUGAUUUGGUGGAAAAAUGAAGAUGCAGGUGGAAUGAGAGUGCAUCCUCGGAAAGUGGAGUCAUGUGAGAGCAUCUGCAUUGCUGGCCUGGGAGUUGUCCCUGCAGCCCCAUUUUGCAGAGGGGAAGCAGGGGCAGCCUGGUGAGGGGGAGCAGGGAAAUUGGGUGUGAGAAGGUGGGGACUGAAGGUCUGAACCUCCAGCAGCACUGUCACUAGGUGACCCCGAUCCUUAGUGGGAGCACCGUUGAAGGGAGGAGUGGAAGGGUAUGGGAAUACUGGGAGACUCCAGAUUUUCCCCUCUUUUUCCUUUCUGCUCACCCUCCUUUUUUUGCCUCAUCUCUCUCCUCUAUUUUUCCUUUUUUCCCAUCCCUUUCUUUGUCUUCCCUAAGCCUCUCCAAAUACUCUCUUAGUCAAAUAGCUCCCCCAAGCUCCGAGGCCACUGUUCCUAGGCAGGUGGACCAGCGUCCUCUCGAAUUCACCAGGCUGCAGAUAACCAUCCUGAGACAUCCCUGACUCAUCAGUCCUUAGAACCUCCGCCAAGACGUUUCCAGGGCCAGCUUUGGUCUCAAGAGGGUCUAUGGAACAUUCAUCAGCAACAGGAGAGGACACAUAAAAUCAGGCAACUGUUUGGGAUCCCUGUCAGCACCACCUCUGGUCUUUAUAAUCCAAAUUGUGGGAGUGGGAAAAGAGGACUUUGUUUCAUGCAUAAGUCUUUCCCUGCAGCCUCUGAGAAAGAAAUCCACACUGGGUCUUCAAGGCCCGAGUGCUUGAAGGAGAGAGCAGGGUCACGCCCACCUUCUUUAUGGUGGAGGGAGAGAGAAAAGCAAAUAUAAGGA
Ornithorhynchus anatinus (platypus) is the source of this 1907-nucleotide long non-coding RNA. RefSeq lists it as uncharacterized. The transcript has 4 exons. Lineage: Eukaryota; Metazoa; Chordata; Mammalia; Monotremata; Ornithorhynchidae. The record is from RefSeq and is a predicted model, not a curated record.